CCCAAAUAUAGGCGUCACGGUCUACAAGAUCACCAAAUCUAGUAGCUAAGAGGGAAACCGGUGCGGCACGCUCAGUGCUAAAUCCGGUGCUGCCCCCGCAACUGUCAGCAGCGAGUUCGCUUCCAACCAACGUCACUGGUGCUCCGCAUCGGGAAGACCGGAAGCGAACGGCGACCUGCGAGCCAGGAGACCUGCCGCGACACCAAAACGUCC
Molecule: non-coding RNA, 213 nt
Filed under: Pseudomonadota bacterium
Lineage: Bacteria; Pseudomonadati; Pseudomonadota
Source: RNAcentral